AGGCGGGGCGAGCGGCGGCUCGGACGGCGGUUCGAGCGCCUCGGGUUCGGGUUCGGGCUCCGGCUCGGGUUCGGGUUCCGGCUCGGCCUCC
This 91-nucleotide transfer RNA is filed under the name Streptomyces narbonensis. RNAcentral's name for it is "tRNA-Arg(tcg)". Lineage: Bacteria; Bacillati; Actinomycetota; Actinomycetes; Kitasatosporales; Streptomycetaceae. The record is from RNAcentral.